This 371-nucleotide ribosomal RNA is filed under the name uncultured Methanosaeta sp. RNAcentral describes it as "bacterial SSU rRNA". It matches the Rfam family "Archaeal small subunit ribosomal RNA", at positions 970 to 1338 of the family's 1478-position model. The record is from RNAcentral. Lineage: Archaea; Methanobacteriati; Methanobacteriota; Methanomicrobia; Methanotrichales; Methanotrichaceae.
GCCGGAUUAGCUGAGAGGUGGUGCAUGGCCGUCGUCAGCUCGUACUGUGAAGCAUCCUGUUAAGUCAGGCAACGAGCGAGACCCACGCCCCACAGUUUGCCAGCGUACUCUCUGGAGUGACGGGUACACUGUGGGGGACCGCCGCUGCUAAAGCGGAGGAAGGAAUGGGCAACGGUAGGUCAGUAUGCCCCGAAUAUCCCGGGCUACACGCGAGCUACAAUGGUUGGUACAAUGGGUAUCUACCCCGAAAGGGGACGGGAAUCUCCUAAACCAAUCUUAGUUCGGAUUGAGGGCUGCAACUCGCCCUCAUGAAGCUGGAAUCCGUAGUAAUCGCGUUUCAACAGAACGCGGUGAAUACGUCCCUGCUCCUU